UAAUAUUUAAAGAAUAAAGGUUCUUUUUAAGAUUAAUAAGGAAAACGGUGUAAAUCCGUUGCUGUAGUCGCAGCUGUAACCAGUAUUUUUAGAAGAUCUCCACUGCUUUAAGUGGGAAGGAGAUUUUUAUGAGAACUGGGAGCCAGAAGACUUACCUUUAUUUAUGCUUCACA
Molecule: non-coding RNA, 173 nt
Filed under: Halanaerobium praevalens
Lineage: Bacteria; Bacillati; Bacillota; Clostridia; Halanaerobiales; Halanaerobiaceae
Also listed under: 1 other name
Source: RNAcentral